AGUGAACGCUGGCGGCAGGCCUAACACAUGCAAGUCGAGCGGCUGCAGGGGGCUAGCCCUUGGAUUCAGCGGCGGACGGGUGAGUAAUUCGUAGGAAUCUGCCUGUUAGUGGGGGAUAACGUCGGGAAACGGACGCUAAUACCGCAUACGUCCUACGGGAGAAAGUGGGGGAUCUUCGGACCUCACGCAGUCAGAUGAGCCUAGGUCGGAUUAGCUAGUUGGUGGGGUAAAGGCCUACCAAGGCGACGAUCCGUAACUGGUCUGAGAGGAUGAUCAGCCACACUGGAACUGAGACACGGUCCAGACUCCUACGGGAGGCAGCAGUGGGGAAUAUUGGACAAUGGGCGAAAGCCUGAUCCAGCCAUGCCGCGUGUGUGAAGAAGGUCUUCGGAUUGUAAAGCACUUUAAGUUGGGAGGAAGGGCAGUAAGUUAAUACCUUGCUGUUUUGACGGUACCAAAAGAAUAAGCACCGGCUAACUUCGUG
This 484-nucleotide ribosomal RNA is filed under the name uncultured bacterium. RNAcentral's name for it is "partial 16S ribosomal RNA". It matches the Rfam family "Bacterial small subunit ribosomal RNA", at positions 29 to 507 of the family's 1533-position model. The record is from RNAcentral.